UGCUUGUUGUGAAAAUGAUAACAGGUUAUUUCUGCUCACUGCAAUUUUGUAAAGGGCUGCAGUAUUUUGACUGUAUAAAGGUAGCAUAAUCAUUAGCUUUUUAAUUGGGGGCUGGUAUGAACGGGGAAGCAGGGGAAUAGUGUGUUUAUAAAGAAUGUUGAAUUUUAUGUGUUUGUGAAAAAUCAAAUUGAAUUUUAAGGGACAAGAAGACCCUAUUUUAAGUUUGAUGAAGGAUUGAAGAAAGCAUAAAGGGAUGAGAAUUUUAUUGGUGUGAUUUAUAAUUUUUUGUUUAGCUGGGGCGGUGAAUGAGAUACAUUAUUUAUAUUUUAAUAGAUGUUGAGCGAGAUUUAGACCUAGUUGUGGUUAAUUAAGUGGAUAAUUACUUUAGGGAUAACAGCGUUAUUAUUUUUGAGAGUUCUGAUUGACAAAGUAGUUUGCGACCUCGAUGUUGGAUUA
This 456-nucleotide ribosomal RNA is filed under the name Tylopus nodulipes. Its description in RNAcentral is "partial large subunit ribosomal RNA". The record is from RNAcentral. Lineage: Eukaryota; Metazoa; Arthropoda; Diplopoda; Polydesmida; Paradoxosomatidae.